GCGGGUGUAGUACAAUGGCAGUACGCUAGCUUCCCAAGCUAGAUACGGGAGUUCGAUUCUCCUCACCCGCUCCA
Molecule: transfer RNA, 74 nt
Filed under: Candidatus Tantalella remota
Lineage: Bacteria; Pseudomonadati; Candidatus Omnitrophota
Description: tRNA-Gly
Rfam family: tRNA
About the family: Transfer RNA (tRNA) molecules are approximately 80 nucleotides in length.
Source: RNAcentral